RNAcentral lists this transfer RNA (141 nucleotides) under Candidatus Bathyarchaeota archaeon. RNAcentral's name for it is "tRNA-Arg". The stretch from base 76 to 133 matches the Rfam family "tRNA", at positions 10 to 63 of the family's 71-position model. Lineage: Archaea; Thermoproteati; Candidatus Bathyarchaeota. The record is from RNAcentral.
GGGCCCGUAGCGUAGAGGAAUGGGAGCGAGAAGGAAAGAAAAAAGAAAAAAGAAAAAAAGGUUAAUCUCCCGUCCACGUAUUCCGGAUAACGCGUCGGCCUUCGGAGCCGGAGAUCCAGGGUUCGAAUCCCUGCGGGCCCA